This 253-nucleotide ribosomal RNA is filed under the name uncultured bacterium. RNAcentral describes it as "partial 16S ribosomal RNA". It matches the Rfam family "Bacterial small subunit ribosomal RNA", at positions 524 to 776 of the family's 1533-position model. The record is from RNAcentral.
GACAGAGGUGCCAAGCGUUAGGCGGAAUCACUGGGCUUAAAGCGUGUGUAGGCGGAAUUGUAAGUACCUUGUGAAAUCCCACGGCUCAACCGUGGAACUGCUCGGUAUACUGCUUUUCUUGAGCCACUUAGGGGCUGUCGGAACAAACGGUGGAGCGGUGAAAUGCGUAGAUAUCGGAAGGAACACCAGUGGCGAAAGCGGCUUCCUGGUCCAGCACCGACGUUCAGGCACGAAAGCGUGGGGAGCAAACAGG